AAGCACUCACGUUAGAGACGUGGAACCAGCAGUGUUCUCCAGUGUCUAACCUUCGAGCACUAUUGUGGCAGUAGGGAAGUUUCCCACCCUCCAUAAACACAAAUUCUGUUGCCUUAUAGCAGGUACCAGCGGGUGAUGCUGUUGGACUCGUGUGAGUUCGGUAAUUCACCCUCCCCCAGUGCCAAACCCAGGUCAGCCUGAGGAAGUGCUGCUGACAGCACAGCUGGAGCAGAAGGCAUCAGAUUCAUGGAGAGAGGCUGGAGCACAUCUUUGGGAAGCCAUUGCAACUCUUCAAGUCGAGCUCCUCAGAAACCUCAAGCAACCGCACUUCUGCUGCUUCCCCAAAGGACAAGAAGAGUGGGGAGACCUGAUCCCUCAGAAGGUGCCCAUCUGCAGGAUUUUAACGAGUUGUUCUCAACUCGCCCGGAGUUAACAGUCUCCAUUUUUUCCGGACUAAACCCAAAGCAGCCAUUCAUCAGAGCAUCCGCCGCACUUCCCACACGAACACCCCUCUCCUCGUGAGGAGUCCUCAAAUUCCACACGAGGUCUGAGCAUGAAUAACUGCAGGAGGCGCAAGCAGUGCUGAUUUACAGAACUGCAUCUCUAAGGAAGGAGCCUUUUGUGUACCUCUCCAUUAAAGCCACUUUGACCGAACAGCAGUAGCUACAGCCUUCACUGGGACAGAGAACUCUGGAAGAGCUUUUCAAUGAAGGCCAUGAAGCCCGUGCUCUUUUCCUUAUCCCAAGACUGUUGCAUAUGCACUGCUGGAAUCUUGUCUACAGCUCCUCUGUUCAUGUGGUCAGUACCCUGACCUGGUUGCCAUUCGAAUGAGAGGGGCUUGCCUGCACCCUCUCUGUUGGCAGCUCCCAGUUAACAAGGGGAUUUCCAGUGGGUCUCCUUGGCAGUGAGCACGACACCAACACGUUCUGUUUAUGUCUACGUACACAUCUGAGCGUGUUUCCUGAGCCAGAGAAGACAUUACACUGCCUAAUGGCACAGCUGCACUAGACAGACCUAGACAGAUGCAGCCAGAUGUGAACUCGCUCCAAGUGCAAGCGGGUCCUGGUCCAGAUGUCAGAAGGCCAGUGUGGAUGCAGGACUUGGGGCCCCAGAACCAGCAGGAGAGGUGAGCUCCAUCACACUAAAACUCACCCCUGGCUGGUUUGGAGGCUGGGCACGGGGGUUCGUGCCUGCCUGCGCUGUCCCGAUAAUGGGACUCAGCAGUCAACCAGCCACAGCACUCAGGACCCCCGUUCCUGCUCCCCAGUGCUCUCACAACUUCCCUUUCUCUAGUUUCUGUAAGGCUUUUUGGUAGCCAUGGAAAUCCCCAGGGAAGUUCUGGUUUUAUAACUCAUCUGUACCCUGACAGCAGAGCCCUGCCCUCAGCUUGGAUGCCUGGACAUCUCACAGCACAGCUGAGGAAUACUAACAAAGGCUGAGGGCCACUGGCUUUGUGGUGCAAGUCAGAAAAGGGAGGGAGGUAGAAGAGGCAAAACAGAAUCAGCAACUCGCAGCCUGUCUGUGUUUGGGCUGAAUAAGUGCAAAUUUAAUAUCUUUUCCCCACUCAGCAUAUGUGCUGCAGCCCAUUUCUGUGUUUUAGCACAGGCACAACUAAUUUUUAAUAGCUACCCCGUCUGUUCUCUCUCUAAGCUGUGUAACUGCCUCAGACAGCUCUUCCAGCAGCAGCCAGGCAAACACAGCUGUUAAU
Long non-coding RNA from Corvus hawaiiensis (hawaiian crow), 1708 nucleotides. RefSeq lists it as uncharacterized. The record is from RefSeq and is a predicted model, not a curated record. Lineage: Eukaryota; Metazoa; Chordata; Aves; Passeriformes; Corvidae. The transcript has 5 exons.